RNAcentral lists this ribosomal RNA (530 nucleotides) under uncultured bacterium. RNAcentral's name for it is "bacterial SSU rRNA". It matches the Rfam family "Bacterial small subunit ribosomal RNA", at positions 355 to 896 of the family's 1533-position model. The record is from RNAcentral.
UGGGGAAUAUUGCACAAUGGGCGGAAGCCUGAUGCAGCGACGCCGCGUGGGGGAUGAAGGCCUUCGGGUUGUAAACUCCUUUCGACAGGGACGAAGCUUUUGUGACGGUACUUGUAUAAGAAGCACCGGCUAACUACGUGCCAGCAGCCGCGGUAAUACGUAGGGUGCGAGCGUUGUCCGGAAUUACUGGGCGUAAAGAGCUCGUAGGUGGUUUGUCGCGUCGUCUGUGAAAUUCCGGGGCUUAACUCCGGGCGUGCAGGCGAUACGGGCUGACUUGAGUGCUGUAGGGGAGACUGGAAUUCCUGGUGUAGCGGUGAAAUGCGCAGAUAUCAGGAGGAACACCGAUGGCGAAGGCAGGUCUCUGGGCAGUAACUGACGCUGAGGAGCGAAAGCAUGGGUAGCGAACAGGAUUAGAUACCCUGGUAGUCCAUGCCGUAAACGGUGGGCGCUAGGUGUAGGGGGCUUCCACGUCUUCUGUGCCGUAGCUAACGCAUUAAGCGCCCCGCCUGGGGAGUACGGCCGCAAGGCUA